UAGGUCUGUCCUAAGUCAAACUUCUUUAAGUUUGACCAAGUGUACAUGAAAUUUUGCUAAUACCUACAACAUCAAACACAUAUAGUAGUAUGAAAAUAUAUUUUAUGGUUAAUCUAAUGAACUAAUGUGGUGUUGUAAAUGUUUGUAUAGUUUUCUGUAGACUUGAUCAAAGUUAAAGAAGUUUGACUUAGGACAAACUUUG
Molecule: microRNA precursor, 202 nt
Filed under: Triticum aestivum (bread wheat)
Lineage: Eukaryota; Viridiplantae; Streptophyta; Magnoliopsida; Poales; Poaceae
Also listed under: 1 other name
Description: MIR1435 microRNA precursor family
Rfam family: MIR1435 microRNA precursor family
Source: Rfam by way of RNAcentral